This 586-nucleotide ribosomal RNA is filed under the name uncultured bacterium. RNAcentral describes it as "bacterial SSU rRNA". It matches the Rfam family "Bacterial small subunit ribosomal RNA", at positions 338 to 916 of the family's 1533-position model. The record is from RNAcentral.
CCUACGGGAGGCAGCAGUGGGGAAUUUUGGACAAUGGGGGCAACCCUGAUCCAGCCAUGCCGCGUGUCUGAAGAAGGCCUUCGGGUUGUAAAGGACUUUUGUCCGGGAAGAAAAGCGCGAUGUUAAUACCAUUGCGUGCUGACGGUACCGGAAGAAUAAGCACCGGCUAACUACGUGCCAGCAGCCGCGGUAAUACGUAGGGUGCGAGCGUUAAUCGGAAUUACUGGGCGUAAAGCGGGCGCAGACGGUUACUUAAGCAGGAUGUGAAAUCCCCGGGCUCAACCUGGGAAUUGCGUUCUGAACUGGGUGGCUAGAGUGUGUCAGAGGGGGGUAGAAUUCCACGUGUAGCAGUGAAAUGCGUAGAGAUGUGGAGGAAUACCGAUGGCGAAGGCAGCCCCCUGGGAUGGCACUGACGUUCAUGCCCGAAAGCGUGGGUAGCAAACAGGAUUAGAUACCCUGGUAGUCCACGCCCUAAACGAUGUCGAUUAGCUGUUGGGCAACUUGAUUGCUUGGUAGCGAAGCUAACGCGUGAAAUCGACCGCCUGGGGAGUACGGUCGCAAGAUUAAAACUCAAAGGAAUUGACGG